Anastrepha obliqua is the source of this 511-nucleotide long non-coding RNA. RefSeq lists it as uncharacterized. The record is from RefSeq and is a predicted model, not a curated record. The transcript is spliced from 3 exons. NCBI's taxonomy places the organism in Eukaryota, Metazoa, Arthropoda, Insecta, Diptera, Tephritidae.
CAAAAUGUCGUUUUCUUUGCAUGUGUGUGCUUAUAUUCAUGUGUUUGCAAAUACUUCUACGUAUUAAUAGUUUAUCUAUUUUUAUUACACAAAUGACCUGUCUGGUUCAAUUUAAUAUUUGGUGAUGUAAAAUUAAAAUUUAAGAUUAUGCACGUUCGCUGAGCUAUUGGUGCAAAUGGAACAUUUAUUCGUACCGUGGGGAAUCAUACAAAACACUAAUUCGACUCACUUAUUAUGGAAAAGACGUACAAACACUUAAUAAUGCAGGCCCACAAGAGUUGGCCACAUGCACUGAUGAGCUGGAAGCUGAUAUUAUAAACCAGGAAAUUGUGUCUGCCAGUGUAUACAUAACCUCUUUUGUUGCACGGACUGAAAUUGAAUGCUUAUUCAGAUAUCGAGUAUGAGCAGGUGCUCACAGAUUUAGAGGACGUCAUACAGACCUACAAUACAUACAUAUAUCGAUACCGCACAGUGCACAGCAGAGGAUUAAAUCCAAAUAGAUUAAAUAAAA